AAAGUACUCCCACCGUCCCAAAAUUCUUGUCUUAGAUUUGUCUAGAUACGGAUGUAUCAAGUCACAUUUUAGUAUUAGAUACCUCCGUAUCUAGACAAAUCUAAGACAAGAAAUUUGGGACAGAGGGAGUAGUUG
Molecule: non-coding RNA, 135 nt
Organism: Triticum aestivum (bread wheat)
Lineage: Eukaryota; Viridiplantae; Streptophyta; Magnoliopsida; Poales; Poaceae
Source: Rfam